This 480-nucleotide long non-coding RNA is filed under the name Laticauda laticaudata (blue-ringed sea krait). RNAcentral describes it as "lncRNA (ENSLLTG00000015160.1)". Lineage: Eukaryota; Metazoa; Chordata; Lepidosauria; Squamata; Elapidae. The record is from RNAcentral.
AUGAUCGUAAGUUGAAGAUGUGAUUUUUCACUUUCUCCUCCCCGGUGGUCUUUCUCCUUAGGGUUUUGGCUUGGCAUGCUGAUUUGCACCCUGAUCCCUUGCAUCUGCUCCGUCAUGUACAUUAUCCGGAUGAACUGGCACCAGGCGGCUGAGGAGGCCCAGCAUCGUGCCAAACUGUCACAGAAGCCAGUGGAGGAAUUGAACUCGGCUCCCAUCCCAGACAAGGCAGUUUCUUCUCCCGAUACGGAAGGCAAAGCAGGGUUUGGAGGACACACGGAUGCCCAGAAUGGUGUCGUGCUGCUGAGCUUCACCAUCAUAGAUGGCCCCACUUUGCAGGACAAGAAGGUGGCCGAUGUCCCCAAAAUGAGCCAAGUUUUGACGACCAAACAACUGAUCGUGAGACGGGGACUGGCGGUGACCAGCGCUGUGGGAAUUCUAGCCGUCGGAAUAUUGAUACGGAUAUUCACGGUGAACAAUUAG